Molecule: non-coding RNA, 293 nt
Organism: Cinara cedri
Lineage: Eukaryota; Metazoa; Arthropoda; Insecta; Hemiptera; Aphididae
Source: the annotation of a GenBank genome assembly
UUUCAUCGGUUCAAUUUUAUUUCCCACAUCGUGUAAGUAAAUGUUUAAUUUCAAUUUAAUAAAAUUUCAUAUUAGUACUUGGAUUUUUGUUUUUAAUACCUAUUUAUUUGUAUUGGAUAUUCAGUGGGAAGAAUCACAAUUAUGAAAUUAUUUUUAUUUUGUUGUAAAUUUAUCAAGUGAAAUCUACAAUUCAACAGAGAUUAUCCUGAAAAUUGAAAAUAUACUAGUCUUAAAAACAGUGUGAUGAAAAAUAUUACUCAACAAUAAAUUUUAUUUCAAUUAAUUUGUACAAG